This 790-nucleotide ribosomal RNA is filed under the name Kribbella sp. RNAcentral's name for it is "bacterial SSU rRNA". It matches the Rfam family "Bacterial small subunit ribosomal RNA", at positions 76 to 879 of the family's 1533-position model. The record is from RNAcentral. Lineage: Bacteria; Bacillati; Actinomycetota; Actinomycetes; Propionibacteriales; Kribbellaceae.
CCCUUCGGGGGUACACGAGCGGCGAACGGGUGAGUAACACGUGAGCAACCUACCCUCAACUUUGGGAUAAGCCUCGGAAACGGGGUCUAAUACCGGAUAAUACUGACCGUCUCAUGGUGGUUGGUUGAAAGUUCUGGCGGUUGGGGAUGGGCUCGCGGCCUAUCAGCUUGUUGGUGGGGUAAUGGCCUACCAAGGCGUCGACGGGUAGCCGGCCUGAGAGGGCGACCGGCCACACUGGGACUGAGACACGGCCCAGACUCCUACGGGAGGCAGCAGUGGGGAAUAUUGCGCAAUGGACGAAAGUCUGACGCAGCAACGCCGCGUGAGGGAUGACGGCCUUCGGGUUGUAAACCUCUUUCAGCAGGGACGAAGCGAGAGUGACGGUACCUGCAGAAGAAGGACCGGCCAACUACGUGCCAGCAGCCGCGGUAAUACGUAGGGUCCGAGCGUUGUCCGGAAUUAUUGGGCGUAAAGGGCUCGUAGGCGGUUCGUCACGUCGGGAGUGAAAACUCGGGGCUUAACCCCGAGCCUGCUUCCGAUACGGGCAGACUAGAGGUAGGCAGGGGAGAGCGGAACUCCUGGUGUAGCGGUGGAAUGCGCAGAUAUCAGGAAGAACACCGGUGGCGAAGGCGGCUCUCUGGGCCUUACCUGACGCUGAGGAGCGAAAGCGUGGGUAGCGAACAGGAUUAGAUACCCUGGUAGUCCACGCCGUAAACGUUGGGCGCUAGGUGUGGGGGACAUUCCACGUCCUCCGUGCCGCAGCUAACGCAUUAAGCGCCCCGCCUGGGGA